RNAcentral lists this ribosomal RNA (322 nucleotides) under uncultured eukaryote. RNAcentral describes it as "partial 18S ribosomal RNA". It matches the Rfam family "Eukaryotic small subunit ribosomal RNA", at positions 1470 to 1796 of the family's 1831-position model. The record is from RNAcentral.
CCCUUAGAUGUUCUGGGCCGCACGCGUGCUACACUGAGUAAUUCAAUGGGUAAGGGAACGCUAGAGCAUUACCUAAUCUUGAAAUUUGCUCGUGAUGGGAGUCGACGGUUGCAAUUUUCCGUCGUGAACGAGGAAUACCUUGUAGGCGCAUGUCAUCAUCAUGCGCCGAAUACGUCCCUGCCCUUUGUACACACCGCCCGUCGCUCCUACCGAUUGAGUGAUCCGGUGAGGCUCUGGGACCUGGACGGAAAGAGCGUUUCGCUUGUUCUGUUUGGGAAACUUGGUCGAACCUUAUCAUUUAGAGGAAGGAGAAGUCGUAACA